Molecule: ribosomal RNA, 253 nt
Filed under: uncultured bacterium
Lineage: Bacteria
Description: partial 16S ribosomal RNA
Rfam family: Bacterial small subunit ribosomal RNA
Source: RNAcentral
UACGUGAGGGGCGAACGUUGUUCGGUGUCACUGGGCUUAAAGGGUGCGUAGGUGGUUGCGUAAGUAACGUGUGAAAUCCCUCGGCUUACCCGGGGAAUUGCAUGUUAUACUGCGUGACUUGAGGGCUAAAGGGGAAAAGGGAACUCCAGGUGUAGCGGUGAAAUGCGCAGAUAUCUGGGGGAAGGCCGGCGGCGAGGGCGCUUUUCUGGUUAGUACCUGACACUGAGGCACGAAAGCGUGGGGAGCAAACAGG